GCCAGCAGCCAUAUCACCCUGCAACUCACAACUGGCAACCCACUGAAGCUAAGCAGGUGUGAGCCUGGUCAGUACCUGGAUGGGAGACCUCCUGGGAAAAACUAAGUGGGGCCAGCA
Molecule: ribosomal RNA, 117 nt
Organism: Lepisosteus oculatus (spotted gar)
Lineage: Eukaryota; Metazoa; Chordata; Actinopteri; Semionotiformes; Lepisosteidae
Source: Ensembl